Molecule: long non-coding RNA, 443 nt
Filed under: Cricetulus griseus (Chinese hamster)
Lineage: Eukaryota; Metazoa; Chordata; Mammalia; Rodentia; Cricetidae
Description: lncRNA (ENSCGRG00000025016.1)
Source: RNAcentral
AAUAAAGGACUUAACAUUUUUCCCUAAUUUUUCUUUAAUAGGAUAUUUGUCAAAUGCAAAAGAUAUCUACAAAAGCAUGUUGGACUCCUGCUUGGAUAACAUUUGGAGACAGCUGAAAAUUUUACAGUUUACUAAGGGGAAAAGGCCUAAAACCAACUAUAAGAUCGAAGAAUUACAAUGUCAGAUACUAAGCAGGUUGCAAAGUCAACAACAAAUUAAGGUACUAAUUAUAAUAAGAAUGGACUCCGAUGGAGAAAAGCAUUUACUUAUUAAAACCCUUAAGAAAAUAGAAGGUAGGAGCAUUUAAUUUAUGUUUCAUUUAGUAAAUGCCUUAAGUUAUGCAAAUGUAAUCAUCUGUUAUUGACAGUAAAAUACCAUAAAUUUGUCUUCUCAAAAUCUAAGACUCAGUGGGGUUUCACCAAUGAUUUGAUUCUCCAGUUGCU